Saccostrea cuccullata (small rock oyster) is the source of this 561-nucleotide long non-coding RNA. RefSeq lists it as uncharacterized. The record is from RefSeq and is a predicted model, not a curated record. Lineage: Eukaryota; Metazoa; Mollusca; Bivalvia; Ostreida; Ostreidae. The transcript is spliced from 4 exons.
AUCUGUGACAGCUUGUCCUAAGGAUGAUCUCACUUGGUUGAACAACGGCAUUAAGUUACUGUGUCCCAAUGAUACACUAGGGAGGAACCUGUACCAGUGUGUACCUAAUAAUGACAGAUUUUCACUUGUGGAGUUUUGUCUUCAAGGGAGUAUUGGCAGAUUUGGAGCAGAUACUUGCCCUUUUGCUAUAUCUUCGGGACACCUAGAUGCCAUCAACUGCACCACUUUUCUCAACGGUUGUCCGAAAGAACCUUAUCUUACCAAUGAAGUUUACAGAUAUCCAGCCUGCUUGGACAUAAAUCCACAGAAACACUGUUAUUUGGCAAAUGAAAGCUGUUUAGACAAAACGAGUCAGGAGAUACCAAAAUCAACAACUUUUAUUCAACCCACUGACUCAUAUACCCUGUCCACAGGCAGCUCCAAUCUUACCUCUGUGUUACCAAACAGUACUUUCAAUUUGCAGCCCGGGAUUGAGACCGUACCUAUAAUUGCUGGCGUAGUCUCCUUGUUGAUCGCACUAGUGGUUAUUUUCGUGAUUUUCCUUUCUUUUUAUUCGAAAAA